Molecule: transfer RNA, 74 nt
Filed under: Danionella translucida
Lineage: Eukaryota; Metazoa; Chordata; Actinopteri; Cypriniformes; Danionidae
Also listed under: 1 other name
Rfam family: tRNA
About the family: Transfer RNA (tRNA) molecules are approximately 80 nucleotides in length. Their secondary structure includes four short double-helical elements and three loops (D, anti-codon, and T loops).
Source: Rfam by way of RNAcentral
GGCCUGUUAGCUCAGCUGGUUAGAGCGUGGUGCUAAUAAUGCCAAGGUCGUGGGUCAGAUCCCCACAUGGGCCA